UGGGGAAUAUUGCGCAAUGGGGGAAACCCUGACGCAGCGACGCCGCGUGCGGGAUGAAGGCCUUCGGGUUGUAAACCGCUUUUGAUUGGGAGCAAGCUUUCGGGUGAGUUUACCUUUCGAAUAAGCGCCGGCUAACUACGUGCCAGCAGCCGCGGUAAUACGUAGGGCGCAAGCGUUAUCCGGAAUUAUUGGGCGUAAAGAGCUUGUAGGAGGUUCGUCGCGUCUGGUGUGAAAGCCCAUCGCUUAACGGUGGGUUUGCGCCGGGUACGGGCGGGCUAGAGUGCAGUAGGGGAGACUGGAAUUCCCGGUGUAACGGUGGAAUGUGUAGAUAUCGGGAAGAACACCAAUGGCGAAGGCAGGUUUCUGGGCUGUUACUGACGCUGAGAAGCGAAAGCGUGGGGAGCGAACAGG
This 411-nucleotide ribosomal RNA is filed under the name Bacteroidota bacterium. RNAcentral's name for it is "Bacteroidetes bacterium partial 16S ribosomal RNA". It matches the Rfam family "Bacterial small subunit ribosomal RNA", at positions 355 to 776 of the family's 1533-position model. The record is from RNAcentral. Lineage: Bacteria; Pseudomonadati; Bacteroidota.